GGAAGUUAAGAAACUGUUUCUUAACUUUUAACUAAAAAAGCUAAGAACUGGUUCUUAAAUAAAGACUUUAAGAACCGGUUCUUAGUUUUUUUAGUUAAAAGUUAAGAAACAGUUUCUUAACUUCC
This 125-nucleotide microRNA precursor is filed under the name Brassica napus (rape). RNAcentral's name for it is "MIR9563 microRNA precursor family". It matches the Rfam family "MIR9563 microRNA precursor family". The record is from Rfam by way of RNAcentral. Lineage: Eukaryota; Viridiplantae; Streptophyta; Magnoliopsida; Brassicales; Brassicaceae.